UACGUAGGGUGCGAGCGUUGUCCGGAAUUAUUGGGCGUAAAGGGCUCGUAGGCGGUUUGUCGCGUCGGGAGUGAAAACCCAGGGCUUAACCCUGGGCUGGCUUCCGAUACGGGCAGACUAGAGGUAUGCAGGGGAGAACGGAAUUCCUGGUGUAGCGGUGAAGUGCGCAGAUAUCAGGAGGAACACCGGUGGCGAAGGCGGUUCUCUGGGCAUUACCUGACGCUGAGGAGCGAAAGUGUGGGGAGCGAACAGG
This 253-nucleotide ribosomal RNA is filed under the name uncultured bacterium. RNAcentral describes it as "partial 16S ribosomal RNA". It matches the Rfam family "Bacterial small subunit ribosomal RNA", at positions 524 to 776 of the family's 1533-position model. The record is from RNAcentral.